GAUGAACGCUGGCGGCGUGCCUAAUACAUGCAAGUCGAGCGAACGGACGAGAAGCUUGCUUCUCUGAUGUUAGCGGCGGACGGGUGAGUAACACGUGGAUAACCUACCUAUAAGACUGGGAUAACUUCGGGAAACCGGAGCUAAUACCGGAUAAUAUUUUGAACCGCAUGGUUCAAAAGUGAAAGACGGUCUUGCUGUCACUUAUAGAUGGAUCCGCGCUGCAUUAGCUAGUUGGUAAGGUAACGGCUUACCAAGGCAACGAUGCAUAGCCGACCUGAGAGGGUGAUCGGCCACACUGGAACUGAGACACGGUCCAGACUCCUACGGGAGGCAGCAGUAGGGAAUCUUCCGCAAUGGGCGAAAGCCUGACGGAGCAACGCCGCGUGAGUGAUGAAGGUCUUCGGAUCGUAAAACUCUGUUAUUAGGGAAGAACAUAUGUGUAAGUAACUGUGCACAUCUUGACGGUACCUAAUCAGAAAGCCACGGCUAACUACGUGCCAGCAGCCGCGGUAAUACGUAGGUGGCAAGCGUUAUCCGGAAUUAUUGGGCGUAAAGCGCGCGUAGGCGGUUUUUUAAGUCUGAUGUGAAAGCCCACGGCUCAACCGUGGAGGGUCAUUGGAAACUGGAAAACUUGAGUGCAGAAGAGGAAAGUGGAAUUCCAUGUGUAGCGGUGAAAUGCGCAGAGAUAUGGAGGAACACCAGUGGCGAAGGCGACUUUCUGGUCUGUAACUGACGCUGAUGUGCGAAAGCGUGGGGAUCAAACAGGAUUAGAUACCCUGGUAGUCCACGCCGUAAACGAUGAGUGCUAAGUGUUAGGGGGUUUCCGCCCCUUGGUGCUGCAGCUAACGCAUUAAGCACUCCGCCUGGGGAGUACGACCGCAAGGUUGAAACUCAAAGGAAUUGACGGGGACCCGCACAAGCGGUGGAGCAUGUGGUUUAAUUCGAAGCAACGCGAAGAACCUUACCAAAUCUUGACAUCCUUUGACAACUCUAGAGAUAGAGCUUUCCCCUUCGGGGGACAAAGUGACAGGUGGUGCAUGGUUGUCGUCAGCUCGUGUCGUGAGAUGUUGGGUUAAGUCCCGCAACGAGCGCAACCCUUAAGCUUAGUUGCCAUCAUUAAGUUGGGCACUCUAAGUUGGCUGCCGGUGACAAACCGGAGGAAGGUGGGGAUGACGUCAAAUCAUCAUGCCCCUUAUGAUUUGGGCUACACACGUGCUACAAUGGACAAUACAAAGGGCAGCGAAACCGUGAGGUCAAGCAAAUCCCAUAAAGUUGUUCUCAGUUCGGAUUGUAGUCUGCAACUCGACUACAUGAAGCUGGAAUCGCUAGUAAUCGUAGAUCAGCAUGCUACGGUGAAUACGUUCCCGGGUCU
RNAcentral lists this ribosomal RNA (1372 nucleotides) under uncultured bacterium. Its description in RNAcentral is "bacterial SSU rRNA". It matches the Rfam family "Bacterial small subunit ribosomal RNA", at positions 28 to 1381 of the family's 1533-position model. The record is from RNAcentral.